GAUGAAAAGUUUGAAAUACAUCUGAUGGCUUCAACACCUCAACAAAAAAACAUCUCACGGAAGUGAUGACCGCAAUAUUGAUCUUUCUUAUCUCAAGGAGGUGGCAAUCCAGGAAACAAACCAAACACCCCUUUGAUCCUUUGCGUAAGUUUUUCUAAAGCUUCCUUUUGGUCAUGGAACUGAAUACCAUUGAAGCUUGAUCUUUAUUUGAUCGGCUUCGAAAUCUUGAUUUUUGUUGUUAUUAACAUAUUACAUUGAGUAAAAUGUCAUUUUCGUCCCUGAGGUUUGGCCAGUUUUGCGACUUUUGUCCAAAGGUUUGUUUUUCCGCAUCUUUGUUAUCUGUA
This 344-nucleotide long non-coding RNA is filed under the name Helianthus annuus (common sunflower). Its description in RNAcentral is "sRNA HanXRQr2_Chr11g0486121". The record is from RNAcentral. Lineage: Eukaryota; Viridiplantae; Streptophyta; Magnoliopsida; Asterales; Asteraceae.